UUUUUUUUUUUUUUUUUUUUUUUUUUUUUUUUUUUUUUUUUUUUUUUUCUCACAUGCAUUGUUGCAAAUGUUGUCAAUCUUUGGAUGGUCUCUGAAGUAAGCCUUAGUCCAUGCUUCUUUAGGCCACUUGUUCAGAUAGUUCCAAGCUUGGACAUUCUUAGCUUUCAACUUGUCCAUCUUAUCAUUGAACUCAGGGAUUGUUCUUGCUCUAGCACACUCCCACACCACAUUCUUCAUCUCUUUGUCUUUCCAUUGCUUUGUGAAGUUCCUCCAUAGGUGCAUUGCACAAUUCUUGAAACAUUAAAGUCCUAAAAAAUAUAACAAAUACUUAACAGAAAAAGUUACCUUCUGCAUGUCUGA
This 360-nucleotide long non-coding RNA is filed under the name Lotus japonicus. Its description in RNAcentral is "long non-coding RNA (LJAP_LNC000573)". The record is from RNAcentral. Lineage: Eukaryota; Viridiplantae; Streptophyta; Magnoliopsida; Fabales; Fabaceae.